CUAUAAUUGUCGAAAGGGAUUGAAGUUCAGCUCACAGUACAAACAAUGUGCGAAGGACGCAUGCCCUGAUGGAUAUUACGGAGCUUUGUGCCAGCACAAAUGCUUAUAUACUUUUCUCGGUCCUAAGUGUAAGCUUCAAUGUUACUGAAAAAAAGCUUUUUGCAACCAUGUCCAUGGAUGUCCUUCGACAGUGAUCUUCAAUCAAUUAAUAUCGACAACAAAGAAUCCAUUAUCUGAAAAGGGAGGUGACGAAACUUCUGUUAGGGACACAACAGGGGCCAAUACAAAGCCUAUUUCAUCCUUUGCGAAUCGUA
This is a long non-coding RNA of Saccostrea cuccullata (small rock oyster), 314 nucleotides long. RefSeq lists it as uncharacterized. Lineage: Eukaryota; Metazoa; Mollusca; Bivalvia; Ostreida; Ostreidae. The record is from RefSeq and is a predicted model, not a curated record. The transcript has 3 exons.